AGGCCAGUCCCUGAGUAGGAAUGGACAACAAGGUGGUCACCAUGCUGACAGCUAUUCCCUGUGUGAUUUACUUUAUUAUGAAGUCUAAAUUUGAUGCUGAAGUGCUAGCCUAAGCUCACUAACCUGCCAACUUAGAGAAGAAGGUAACCAUGGCUAGGAUGACUGGGAAUCUGAUGGACUCAAUUAAGAAUUUCUACAGAUGGGAAAACCAAAACUCCUUAGUGGCAAGAGGCCAAAGAUGGUCAGCGAAUUGUUGUUUCCGGCUGUUGGAAGUUGACUGCAGUUGAAUAACAGAACAAAAACGGAGCUUCAAAAUCAUGGCGUGCCUGCUUCUUCUGGGUUCUUUUAACUGCAAGCAAUCAGCUUUGAAGAGCACGUAGGGAACUUCUGAUGUGAUACAAACUUUUGUCUUUUUUUUUUUUUUUGUCUUUUAAGAGCAUUCAAAAACA
Molecule: long non-coding RNA, 449 nt
Filed under: Homo sapiens (human)
Lineage: Eukaryota; Metazoa; Chordata; Mammalia; Primates; Hominidae
Description: HSALNT0294523
Source: RNAcentral